RNAcentral lists this ribosomal RNA (584 nucleotides) under uncultured Pseudomonas sp. RNAcentral describes it as "bacterial SSU rRNA". It matches the Rfam family "Bacterial small subunit ribosomal RNA", at positions 102 to 682 of the family's 1533-position model. Lineage: Bacteria; Pseudomonadati; Pseudomonadota; Gammaproteobacteria; Pseudomonadales; Pseudomonadaceae. The record is from RNAcentral.
ACGGGUGAGUAAUACCUAGGAAUCUGCCUGAUAGUGGGGGAUAACGUUCGGAAACGGACGCUAAUACCGCAUACGUCCUACGGGAGAAAGCAGGGGACCUUCGGGCCUUGCGCUAUCAGAUGAGCCUAGGUCGGAUUAGCUAGUUGGUGAGGUAAUGGCUCACCAAGGCUACGAUCCGUAACUGGUCUGAGAGGAUGAUCAGUCACACUGGAACUGAGACACGGUCCAGACUCCUACGGGAGGCAGCAGUGGGGAAUAUUGGACAAUGGGCGAAAGCCUGAUCCAGCCAUGCCGCGUGUGUGAAGAAGGUCUUCGGAUUGUAAAGCACUUUAAGUUGGGAGGAAGGGCAGUAAAUUAAUACUUUGCUGCUUUGACGUUACCGACAGAAUAAGCACCGGCUAACUCUGUGCCAGCAGCCGCGGUAAUACAGAGGGUGCAAGCGUUAAUCGGAAUUACUGGGCGUAAAGCGCGCGUAGGUGGUUUGUUAAGUUGAGUGUGAAAUCCCCGGGCUCAACCUGGGAACUGCAUCCAAAACUGGCAAGCUAGAGUAUGGUAGAGGGUAGUGGAAUUUCCUGUGUAGCGGU